Molecule: ribosomal RNA, 492 nt
Filed under: uncultured bacterium
Lineage: Bacteria
Description: partial 16S ribosomal RNA
Rfam family: Bacterial small subunit ribosomal RNA
Source: RNAcentral
AGUGAACGCUGGCGGUAGGCCUAACACAUGCAAGUCGAACGGCAGCACAGUAAGAGCUUGCUCUUACGGGUGGCGAGUGGCGGACGGGUGAGGAAUACAUCGGAAUCUACUUUUUCGUGGGGGAUAACGUAGGGAAACUUACGCUAAUACCGCAUACGACCUACGGGUGAAAGCAGGGGAUCUUCGGACCUUGCGCGAUUGAAUGAGCCGAUGUCGGAUUAGCUAGUUGGCGGGGUAAAGGCCCACCAAGGCGACGAUCCGUAGCUGGUCUGAGAGGAUGAUCGGCCACACUGGAACUGAGACACGGUCCAGACUCCUACGGGAGGCAGCAGUGGGGAAUAUUGGACAAUGGGCGCAAGCCUGAUCCAGCCAUACCGCGUGGGUGAAGAAGGCCUUCGGGUUGUAAAGCCCUUUUGUUGGGAAAGAAAAGCAGCAGGUUAAUACCCCGCUGUUCUGACGGUACCCAAAGAAUAAGCAACGGCUAACUUCGUG